GGAUGUGAGGGGGACAACCUCUGCCACCCCAUCGAUGGCCAGGGUUGAUUUGGCCAAUCGGACUGACGAGGCAGGGGCGUCCCCUUCCUCCCUCACCGCCCCAUGUUCCUCCUGAAGCUGCAUGCUCAGCUGAAGAGGACAACUGCCCCUGACAGGACUGUUCCUCGGUCAGGGUAUACGAGUCGCUGCGCUCUCCUCCAGAUAGGCUCUCGCGAGAUCCGUGAGAGCGCCUCAUUCCUGGAUCUUAGCUAUCUGAAAUGUCUUCCUGCU
This 270-nucleotide small nuclear RNA is filed under the name Octodon degus (degu). RNAcentral's name for it is "7SK RNA (ENSODEG00000024560.1)". It matches the Rfam family "7SK RNA". From Rfam's summary of the family: 7SK was discovered as an abundant small nuclear RNA in the mid-70s but a possible function has only recently been suggested. Two independent studies have found that 7SK RNA binds the CDK9/cyclin T complex (known as elongation factor P-TEFb). The record is from Rfam by way of RNAcentral. Lineage: Eukaryota; Metazoa; Chordata; Mammalia; Rodentia; Octodontidae.